UACGUAGGGGGCAAGCGUUGUCCGGAUUCAUUGGGCGUAAAGAGCUCGUAGGCGGUUCAGUAAGUCGGGUGUGAAAGCUCCGAGCUCAACUCGGAGAGGCCACCCGAUACUGCUGUGACUUGAGUCCAGUGGAGGAGCGUGGAAUUCCUGGUGUAGCGGUGAAAUGCGCAGAUAUCAGGAGGAACACCAGCAGCGAAGGCGGCGCUCUGGGCUGGAACUGACGCUGAGGAGCGAAAGCGUGGGUAGCAAACAGG
RNAcentral lists this ribosomal RNA (254 nucleotides) under uncultured bacterium. RNAcentral's name for it is "partial 16S ribosomal RNA". It matches the Rfam family "Bacterial small subunit ribosomal RNA", at positions 524 to 776 of the family's 1533-position model. The record is from RNAcentral.